RNAcentral lists this long non-coding RNA (904 nucleotides) under Cotesia glomerata. RNAcentral's name for it is "uncharacterized LOC123265083, transcript variant X1". The record is from RNAcentral. Lineage: Eukaryota; Metazoa; Arthropoda; Insecta; Hymenoptera; Braconidae.
UAAAUAAUAAUAAUAAUUUUGUGGAAUUUUAGUGGGAAAAAAAUUUUAAUUUCUUUUCGUAUGCCAUUGUGGGUCAAUAAACCAUUUAUAAAUCGAAAUGUCAAUGAUGAACAGCUGAACAAUGUCUUCGUCGUAGCUACGUUAUAGUGCAUAAAUAGGUAUUCACGGGAAUUUACCAAUGCCAAGGAUACUGGCCGAAAUAACAGUAAUAUCUGUUGCAACAUCUGGACUUUGUACAUCACGAUAUAAAGCAAUAUUUCCGUUCCUUGUAUCAAUUACGCAAAUACCGCUAUUAAUGAUUGUAUUACGAAUAGAUCAGUUGGCGAGCAAGAAAGAUCAUUUGCAUUAGGAAUGCAAUUUGUAAUAUUCAGGCUACUUGGUUACAUCUCAGUGCUAAUACUCUUCGGCAAUUUAAUCGACUACACGUGUCGAUACACUUGAUCCAAGGCUCGAUAGACAUGACAAAUCACUUAAAACUUCUCGGUAAUUGUUCGGACCCUAAGCAAGUCGACGACGUUGAAUUUAAGCUUCUCUACUGUAAAUUAAAAUUUAACGAUCGUCACGUUAAAUGAUGAUUUCACUAUAAACAAUAGAUUAAUUGACUAUUAUUAUAAUUAAUUUUUUAAUUUGAAUAUUUAUGGCUAAUUUUUCAAUCUGCUUAAAAUUAAGCUCAAUAUUUUUUUUCUCUAUUUAUUAUUAUAACUUAAAAUUAAUCACGGUAUUUAGUUGCCAAUUAUAUUCGAUGAUUAAAUACAAACACAAUCUGAAUCCAUAUCAUUAUCACGCAGCCAUUUUUUGAGCUUAUUCAUUUCUUUGAUACAAAUUAACGCCGCCGUAUCGAUAACAUUUAUAAAAUAUAAAUAUAAAUUAAUUAAAACUCAAUGUAAUUUAUUGAAGAGGUUUC